This 402-nucleotide ribosomal RNA is filed under the name Acanthamoeba sp. IMU8. RNAcentral's name for it is "bacterial SSU rRNA". It matches the Rfam family "Bacterial small subunit ribosomal RNA", at positions 356 to 770 of the family's 1533-position model. Lineage: Eukaryota; Discosea; Longamoebia; Acanthamoebidae. The record is from RNAcentral.
GGAGAAUAUUUGACAAUGGGCGAAAGCUUGAUCGAGUAAUGUUACGUGGGUGAUCAGAAGGCUUAAUUGCUGUAAAACUCGUUUCGUCAAGGAUUAUAAUGCAAUCGUACUUGAAGGAGAAGCCCUGACUAACUUCGUGCCAGCAGUCGCGGUAAUACGGAGAGGGCAAGUGUUAUUCGCAUUGACUGGGUGUAAAGGGUGCGUAGGUGGCUUGUUAAGUUUCAAAGUAAAGGUUAAACCUGAGGUUUAAAGGCUUUUUAAUACUAACAGGCUAGAGUUUACUAGAAGAUAGCUGAACAUUAAGUGUAAAGGUGAAAUUUUUCGAUAUUUAAAGGACAUGCAAUAGGCGAAGGCUGCUAUCUAUUUUAAUACUGACACUGAGGCACAAAAGCAUAGGGAUCA